UAUUAUUAUUACUCUCAAGUACAAAUUUUAACCAAUUCUCUUCACCUCGGUAAAGGUGGAUGGGACAUAGUAACAUACUCGAGUAUCAUCUGGUUAAUGCAUCUAUCUGUUAAUUAUACAAUGCUAGUCUACUGCAGAGAACUCAACCUAGAUCAGGAAGAGCGAUUUUGGGCGAAGAUGAUUCAUUAAAUUGUGAAACCACCAGAUAAUGUGCAAAAGCAAAAAGCAGUUUGCUUAAAGAAAAGAGUGAUUGAAGUAUCUGAUAAAGCGUGAAACACAACAGAGCACCCACAACCUCCCUGGUGAAUCACCAAGGAACAAAACUAACACCCCUGUGUAUGCAGUUGUCCAACCACUUUCUUCCUCUGACUUCUGUAGCCACUGUCAUAUCUACCAUAUCCCAGAGGAACUUUUUUGGUGGCCCCAUUCAUGAUUCUCAAGAUUCAAGGGCUAUCUCACAAU
RNAcentral lists this long non-coding RNA (462 nucleotides) under Vitis vinifera (wine grape). RNAcentral describes it as "long non-coding RNA (VVIN_LNC007806)". The record is from RNAcentral. Lineage: Eukaryota; Viridiplantae; Streptophyta; Magnoliopsida; Vitales; Vitaceae.